ACACUGAUGGUGAAGCGGUUAUCAUGCUUGCCUUCCAUAAGUGUAAGCAAGCGGCAGGGGUUCGACUCCCCUUCAGUGUA
Molecule: non-coding RNA, 80 nt
Organism: Mycena galopus ATCC 62051
Lineage: Eukaryota; Fungi; Basidiomycota; Agaricomycetes; Agaricales; Mycenaceae
Source: the annotation of a GenBank genome assembly